GUACUAAGAAAAUGCACAAAAGAUAGCUCCAGCCCCCUCUGCUUGACAACUAUGCAAAACCAAAGUUCAACUCCUCUCCGACCCUCAAAGACUUUGUCGAGUCACCGGAGGUUUCAUCGAAGCGGUGAAAAUAGGUACACUCCGUCUCUCUCCAGAAACAAUCGGUGAAGACAUUGCAAAGAAAACUGUAAGGAAUCGGAAUGAUCUCCAGGUCACCGUGCAAAAUCAUCUAUUUUAUAUGAAUUUUUACUUCUCCGCCCUUAUCUCUCGUGGUCGGACUUAACGGCAGAGGACGGCGGUGAUAAGCCAAGCCUUGAUUCCGACGAGUUGUUCAUCUUCCCCCAGACUUUAACUUCUCCAACAACUAACACUACAAUUAAUAAGUAUUUGGGGAGUCUUCUUUGACCUCCUCUUUAAUACUCUUUCGGUUGAGUUUGAAAUUUAGUUAUUUAUGUUCAAUGUCAGAUCCAUAUUUGUUGUUGCAUAUGGUAUUUCUGUACAAAUUAGAGAAAUUAAUAUUUUAACCUUAGGUUUAAAAUUGUGGCUUUUUAGAAAUUGGGGGAUUUUAGAAUCGAACUGAUCUCUAAAAUGCAGACAGUUUUAUUUGGAGUUCAAAGGCAACAAAUGGAGUAGAACUACAAUGAAGCUGCUUGAUAGAGGACGAUUUAUUUAGCGAGAUAAUGAAUUUAAUUUUCACUUCAUGAUAUUUCAUUAAUUAGGAUAUCAAUUUUUGGUCUAAUUCUCCUUUAUUUUCUAAUAAGAUUAUAGUUUGUUUAAACAAUAUGUGAUGAUUGAAUCUCCACUUUUUUUCAUUUUUACAAUUUGUUAGCCACAUUCUAUGUAUAAUACAACUACGACGCUAUGUUUUAUGACUUUUGAUUGUUGAAAAUAUUGAUCUCAUUUGCUAUAUUCAUGACUUUUAAAUUUUUUUUAGGUUUUAUGACUUUUUACGAGCAACAAAUGUCGUUGGAAAGUAGCUAUACAUUUCCUUCUCCUUUAAUAUUUUAUUCACUGGAUUAUUGUGGGGAUGGUUUGGAUGAGUUGUUUGAGCUUUUUUGGUUCCUUUUUCUCUAUGUAAUGGUUUUUCUGUGUGCUUCUAUGUUUGGGUGCAUGUAAUUUUUUAAUAGCAACUGCAAUUUUUAUUUUUAUUUUUUUCACAGUUUAUAAUUAUAUGUGGUGUCAAAAACAGUCUCUCUACCUUAUCAAGUUAUUGUUAAGGUUGUGUACACCACCUUCCCUAUACCUCACUUGUGGAAGACCUAGCAAAGUACAAAAUAUGAAUGAAGCAAACGAUCAGUAGGCAACUCCAAUGGUUAGGAUUAAUGUUUAUUAUGUUUUGCUACAGUUAUAUCAAGUAUGUUGUUUGCCAGGAGUCCUUUUUGUUCAUUACUGAUUUGUAUUUCGGAUGGAAAUAUAAAAAAUCUUUGUAAUAGAGUACCUUAAUAAUUUAUGAGUAUUGGAAUGAAACUGCUCCAAAUGAAACAAAAUGUAUAUUUAGUGUUCAUAUAGCCCACCUCAAUUGACUUAGAUUUGAAGCAUAGCUUUUUAAAUUUGUUGAUCGUAGUUUUAUGUACAUAGCAUCUUCUUUUUCUUGAUCAAAGUAGGAUCAUUUUUUCAUUAUAUUUGCUAGGUUCAUCAUGUCCAAAACAACUUCUUCUUUUCCUUUGCAAGGUCAGAUCAUUUUGAACUUCUCUCAUUUUUCAUUCCUUCAUUGUUAUGCUAAAUCUUUGAACGAGUUGUAGCUACAAUAGAAUUAUGUGACGGACACAAUACUUUUGAAAUGUAGUUUAUAUGCAUUUUAUAAGUUGUAUAUGUAUAUUAUUACCAAUAUUUAGAAGUAAGAGUUAGAGAGGAUGAACACGGCUAUGAUUAGUUGUACAAAUAGUAUUUAAAAUUGUACUAUAAAACAUAGGGUCAUUUUGUUGGCCUUUUGUGUCUGUGGAUUUAUUUAAUUGGUUAUUGUUACACGUGUAAUAGAUUGUCAUUCGUGUCAAAAAAUAACUCCCUCAAAUGAAUAGAGAAACGGAGACUGGAAUGUUCCAUUCCCAUUUUCUUUACUGUGAUUCUCAAUUUACCCAUUUUCUCAGUUUUUUUCUUCUCUUUCUUCAUUUGGAUCUAUUAGUAUUAGUUUAUUUAUUUACUCUCCUUUUCCAGAUUUGACCUAAUUUUCAAGAUCUAUUUGAUGCUUGCAUUGAGAGGUAAUUAAUUCUCUUCUUACAUUUCUGUUCUCUAAAGUUUAAUGUAUUUGGUAUUAACUUUUAUAUUUGAUGGAUUUUUCUCCUUUUACAUUGUUUUUAUUUAGAUUUUGUUUCAUGAAAAUGGAAAUAAGAUUGAACUUAGAUAGUAGGAGUGCCAGAAAAUAAGAUGAAGAGAUUUUGUUAGGUUGCUUAUGUCAUUUGGUUGAUGUACAUGUUUUGAACUGUGAGUGUAUCUUAGCAUAGUUUUGAGCAUUGAUGACCUCUCUGAAUUUAACCACUCUAUUUGAGAUCCCAUUUCUUGGGUGGGAAGUCUCAAAUUGAAAAUAAAGUUGUGGGUUUGAAGAUCUUAAUGUUAGAAUUUGUGAUAUAUCCCUCCUCAAUUGUUGCUGCACAUGUUUUGUCACCCUUUGCAAUAAAUUUUGAGCGGUCUGUUGUAGCUUGAGGGUAAUCGUCAUAAAAAAAUUGACAUCUUUUUGGGUUCAAAACAAUGUUUUAAUCUCGCACCAACGUGUGACUUUUAGUCUUUUCCAUAAGCGUUCUAACUUGGACAAGUUAUUGCUCAACAUGAUAUCAAAAUCUAAUUAACGAAUGAGGUAUUUAGUCGUAGUGACCUAUUUGAUAAUUCUCAUAGUUGUCAAUAACAACAGCAUACCCAUUCAAAUUCCACAAGUGGAGUAUGAGGAGGAUAAAGUGUAAGAAGACCUUACCUCUACCUCAUGAAAGUAGAGAAAUUGUUUUUGAAAUUUUCAUAGUUGUCCAAUUAUCUUAUUAUGUUGGUAUAAUCGUAUAAGAAGCCUCUUGUAGAAGUAAUUGAAGGAGUUGCAGCAGGAAAAAUUAGUGUUCCCACAAAAAAGUAUUCUGGCACGACAACGGAUGAGGUCACCUACUUUUAUUUCGAAUUCUUAUGGAUUUAACUCCUUUAUGAUUAAAGACGUUUGAUAAACGUGGCAAUUAAUACUUUUGGAUCCUUGCUCGCUUUUAUAAUUAUUCCUCGACUUAGCUAAUGUGGCAGAAAACAAUCAAGGUUUAGAGACAGAACAAGAAGUAGGCUAAACUAUGGGAAGGGUUGAUUCAGAUUCUCUUGAUUUUCAUGUCCUUCAGGUACAAUGACACAUACUUUUUUCAGGUUCUUCAAAUUUUGGCCCCUUUUUGUUCAAAAAGAACCAUAGUGUUCUGUUUAGUGUACUAAUAAUAUUUAGUGACAGAUUAUGGUGUUGUAUAUUGUAUUUAUUGCAUAUUGGAUUUGAUCACUUCUGUUAAGUCUUGGCAAAAAAUAGGUUUAAGUAUACAUUUAUGUAGAUGUGCUAAGGUGAGGAAUUGCAAUCAGUUACUUCCUGAGAUGCAACUGGAAGAGAGAUAUACGGUACACAAAUAAAAUGUAAAGAAAAAGGGCAAGUGCGACAUUUUAUUGUUGUUAGAAUUGGUAGCCAAAUACAUGUGAAUAUGAGAAGAAAAUGCCAAAGCACAUCCUUAUGUUUCUUAAAGCUAAAAGCAAAAAACAUCAUAACCAUGAAGAACAAGAGAAAUGCAGUAUAUUGUUCAUUUAUGCUAUUCUUACAUCUAGAUUGGAAAAAAUAUUAUGCUACUUCUGUCUCACUGUACUUUUCAUUUCAAGGUACACCAACAAUAUGAGUUAAAAGGAGAUGAUCUACGUGGAAAUAACAGACAACCGAUUGAGUUCAAUUCUCACGUUAGCUAUGUCUAAGAUCUGAGGAUUCGAUGAGCAAUUUUGUUAGUCAAUACUGGUGUUAUCUUAUUUUUCAUGUAUGAAAGGCCUAAUUGUCUUAAUUGAGGGUUGCAGUUAAUUAAGUUAUAGACACUAGUAUCUAUAGUUAUGUUGUUAAAGGUUCAGACAAACAUCUCUCUCCUUAAUUGAGGGUUGGAGCAAGUACUUUGGCUAAUUGUUACAACUUAAAUCUGAUUUGUCAUUUUUAGCCUCGUAGGUUGUAGUUAAAUUCACCUUUACAAAGCACGGUGGCAUCUAUCAUUGAUCAACCUUUGUACAUAAUCGACUUUUCCUUGCAUC
RNAcentral lists this long non-coding RNA (4224 nucleotides) under Solanum tuberosum (potato). Its description in RNAcentral is "long non-coding RNA (STUB_LNC006207)". The record is from RNAcentral. Lineage: Eukaryota; Viridiplantae; Streptophyta; Magnoliopsida; Solanales; Solanaceae.